RNAcentral lists this ribosomal RNA (500 nucleotides) under uncultured bacterium. RNAcentral's name for it is "partial 16S ribosomal RNA". It matches the Rfam family "Bacterial small subunit ribosomal RNA", at positions 30 to 523 of the family's 1533-position model. The record is from RNAcentral.
AUUGAACGCUGGCGGAAUGCUUUACACAUGCAAGUCGAACGGCAGCACGGACUUCGGUCUGGUGGCGAGUGGCGAACGGGUGAGUAAUGUAUCGGAACGUGCCCAGUCGUGGGGGAUAACGUAGUGAAAGUUACGCCAAUACCGCAUACGAUCUAUGGAUGAAAGCGGGGGAUCGCAAGACCUCGCGCGAUUGGAGCGGCCGAUAACAGAUUAGGUAGUUGGUGGGGUAAAGGCCCACCAAGCCAACGAUCUGUAGCUGGUCAGAUAGGACGACCAGCCACAGUGGAACUGAGACACGGUCCAGACUCCUACGGGAGGCAGCAGUGGGGAAUUUUGGACAAUGGGCGAAAGCCUGAUCCAGCCAUUCCGCGUGCAGGAUGAAGGCCCUCGGGUUGUAAACUGCUUUUGUACAGAACGAAAAGGUUUCUACUAAUACUAGGAGCUCAUGACGGUACUGUAAGAAUAAGCACCGGCUAACUACGUGCCAGCAGCCGCCGCCG